RNAcentral lists this transfer RNA (67 nucleotides) under Kribbella italica. RNAcentral's name for it is "tRNA-OTHER". It matches the Rfam family "transfer-messenger RNA", at positions 306 to 374 of the family's 374-position model. From Rfam's summary of the family: Bacterial tmRNA, also known as 10Sa RNA or SsrA, is named for its dual tRNA and mRNA-like properties. Its role is to liberate the mRNA from a stalled ribosome. To accomplish this part of the tmRNA is used as a reading frame that ends in a translation stop signal. The record is from RNAcentral. Lineage: Bacteria; Bacillati; Actinomycetota; Actinomycetes; Propionibacteriales; Kribbellaceae.
GACUGCGCCCGGAGAAGUCUUGGGUCGGCGCCGAAGGACGCGGGUUCGAUUCCCGCCACCUCCACCA